RNAcentral lists this ribosomal RNA (270 nucleotides) under uncultured archaeon. Its description in RNAcentral is "partial 16S ribosomal RNA". It matches the Rfam family "Archaeal small subunit ribosomal RNA", at positions 477 to 747 of the family's 1478-position model. The record is from RNAcentral.
CAGCACCUCAAGUGGUCAGGAUGAUUAUUGGGCCUAAAGCAUCCGUAGCCGGCGCUGUAAGUUUUCGGUUAAAUCUGUACGCUCAACGUACAGGCUGCCGGGAAUACUGCAGCGCUAGGGAGUGGGAGAGGUAGACGGUACUCGGUAGGAAGGGGUAAAAUCCUUUGAUCUAUUGAUGACCACCUGUGGCGAAGGCGGCCUACCAGAACACGUCCGACGGUGAGGGAUGAAAGCUGGGGGAGCAAACCGGAUUAGAUACCCGUGUAGUCC